UAGUUUGGAUAAUCUAAGAACUGAUUUGAGUCUUGGAUUAAAGCAUAAUCUAAAACUCAGUCUAUUUAAGGCAAUGGUUAGGAUAGGUUGCUCUGAGUUUUGCAUACCAUAACAUCACCCAAUAGUAGCUUCAAUAAACUUCUUUCACAGAGUUCUUUGAGAAUUAAAAAAUCUGAGCUCAGAUGUCAUUUAGUUCAAGUACCACUUUUCUUAUCUUUGGAACAUGCUCUUCUUAGUCUAUGUCUAAAUUAGCAAGUUGGAGAAGUAGUGCAGUUUUGAAGCAAAUGCUUCCCUUGUACUAUGUGUGGUUGGUUCCUCACAGCAGUUUUUGUGCACUAGACCUCACUUCCUUUUGGAGGAAGUAAAGAAAACAACAGUGAUCAUGAAUACAUACCACAGAUAAGUUUAUUGGGCAACAGGUAAUCUCAGUGACUACUGGGUUUGAGAAGACUGGCAAACAACGUUUCAUUACAUUUUAAAAAUGAAGGAAACAAAAAACCAACAUCAGGGCUGGCCUGGCAGGUGGGCACCUGUUAUGAAGAGCUUCCAGGAAUAUUCAAGUGGGAGCACAGUGCUGGGCCAAUCUGGAUUUCUCAGCCUUUGAUUCUCUAUGCUGGAGAAUAGGGAGGAUUCUCUCUCAUUGCUCUGGAAUUCCCUGUACCUGGGUUCAGAGAGGACUACUGGGAAAACACACCCAGAAACAUCCCAUCAGUACAUAGCUUACAUUAGCAACGUGCUGUGUCAAUAUGGCCAAUUCUAGCUGCAAUGAUCAUUAUUCACUCCAGCAAACGUGGCCAUUAGAUGCAAGGAUCUGGGAGGCCUGAGAGCACAGCAUGCCAGUGGAGACCCAAGACAAAUAAAGCAAUUGAGUAUGCUGAUGUUUUCCAUGUCAUUAAGUUCCAUGUCCCGUUAAGCAGAUAACCUGUGUUUCACUGGUCUUUAGCUGCCCAGAUAUUCUGGCGGUUUAUCAGGGAAAAGAUGUUAGAGGUUGGGUAUCGGGUACUUCAAGGCAUUGUUACUGAUGCUUAGAGCAGUUUUCAGCUUCUUUUCUUUCCUGCCCUCUUCUCAUAGAAACAAGCAUGAAAAGCCACAGGAUCACCAGACAUCAAUUCAACUCUCAGCAUGGAGGCAGCAGUGCCACAAUGCCAUUAAGGAAUGCCAUGAGGUAGAACAGAAAUGACUUCUACAUAUGAAAUCUUCAGACAGUGGCGAUGUGGAUGUCAGCACACUAAUACCAGCUGCUGGAAGCCCACAAAUUGACAGGGCAGCCCAAAGAGACACAAGGAAAGUGUCACACCAGAAGCUGUCGUCCUGGAUAUAUGUUGAAAGAUCUGUCUGUGUUUGUUCUGAAGUAAACUCCAAACCAAACAUUUAUGGAGCACUGGUGGGCAGUACUGACCACUUCAAACUGUGACUAAAUUCACUUUGUGUCAUCUUUUUCUUUUUUUCUGAAAGCUCUCAUAAAGUUCCAUACAGACAUCCUCAUUUGAGUUGCUGGGAUGGUAUUCCCACAUGAGAUCCUAAACCAGAUAGCAUGGUGCUGAGGUCACCCUGGAUGGCCUGAUCUGAGCCCCCUUUAAGCCUGAAGAGCUUGGCCCAAAUACCUCAGAUAUCUGUGGUUGGAUGAAUCCAUUUCCUGAUGUGUAGAUGCUGAAAUGGGAAUUAGUCACUAUUGUCAGCUUACAGGAGGAUCUGCUGUGGGAUCUUACCAGUCAUAGAGGUGAGAUUGACUGGAAAUAAUAACCCAUUUCCCAGAGUUCUUUCCCAGGAGACUUGGAACUCCUGGCCAAUUUUCUCCUGAGUUUCAGAAACAGCAAGACUCCCCCUCCUUUGGAGGCUGCCCACUCAACAAGGUUAACACUAUUUCAAAAAGCCAGCGUCCCUUGCGGUCUUUUUGAUGUUGGAGCUGUCUGCAGAAAACACCAUUCCAUUGUCUGAGAAACAGAAGGAAUAUGGUUCUGCAGGUUAGGCAACAGAUAGUUAGAAUCACAGAAUGGCCUGGGUUGAAAAGGACCACAAUGACCAUCAAGUUUCAACCCCCCCUGCUAUGUGCAGGGGCGACAACCACCAGACCAGGCUGCCCAGAGCCACAGCCAACCUGGCCUUGAACGCACUCAGGGAUGGGACAUCCACAGCCUCCUUGGGCUACCUGUUCCAGUGUCCUUGAAACUGAGAGAACCUGAGCCCAGGUGUGUACAUAUAAUUUAAGUAGUUGUUGAACAAAAUUCAGAAGCAGCCCUUAACAAAGGGGCCCCAGAACACAAGACUCCCCCUUUGUUAAUCUUGUGCCAUUAUGAGUAGGUUAAAGAACCUGUUUUGCUUUCACUUUUUGGCCAAGUGAGCCUUGGGUCCUUUUCUCUACCAUGGCAAAAAUUCAACAGGAAGAAGUGACAGCAUCUCUUUUUUACCCUCUAAUGCUUGGAACUUGCUGCAUUGCUACUUGGUCAUACAGUCAUUAUUCCUGUUGGUUUGUAACUGCCUGUGUCGACUUCUGAUUUUGCUGGUGCCAGCCUCAGGCUUAGAAAUGCUCAUUAGCUUUUUCUUUGCUGUCUGUGCAACUCAAUCAUUUAUCUGUCCUACCCAGGAUUUUAAUUUAGUUGUUGUUUUUUUUUUUCUUUCCCAAAAGGGAUUGAAGGAAGCUUGUAAACAUAAAAGAAAACUGUCCUCAGAGUAAUCCCUCCACAAUUGCUACCUGGAAAAGCAUGAUCUCCUGUUAACAUAUCUGCUUAAAGAUACACCUUGGUUGAGUCUCAGGGUUUGAGAAAUUUGAGUAGGUUUUGAGCAGUCAAACAUUAACUUCUGAGGCUCGUGGCUGGCUGAUAUACUUUCCCUGUGUUAGUCUUGAAAGCAUAAUGUGGCGUCUAACAAAAUUUAGUCAGUGUUAAGUCACUGUUGAGCAUAAAGCAGGUUUGCAGUUUAGAAUUACUUCUGUGUAUGUCGCAUUGGAAGGUUUUCCUUAUCUUACUGCUGAUGUUAUUAUUGCCUCAGAAGGACUUCAGGUUGGAUAUUAGGAAAAAUUUCUCAAAAAGAGUAGUGAGGCAGUGGCACAGGCUGCCCAGGGAGGUGGUAGAGUCACUGUCCCUGGAGGUGUUCAAGAACUGUGUGGGUGUGGCACUGAGAGACAUGGUUAGUGGGCAUGGUGUGAUGGGUUGGUGGUAGGACUACAUGAUCUUAGAGGGCUUUCCAACCUUAUUGAUUCUAUGAUUCUAUGAUUUCACUCUUCGGGAGUAUAUUCAUUCACAUUUACCCAAGCUUUAAGAAAUGAAACUGCUUGACCAACAAGCAUCGCUCUCUGACCAACUGAAGACACAACGAUCUCCUACUGACAUGAAGUCUGAUGACAGCACAGUGCUGUGAGCAGGAGAGUAAGACCUCCUGUGGGGUAUGAAUUAGGAGAUUUGCUGCUGGCAUAAAUAACUGAAUUAGGGAUGAGAUUAUACAUGUGGUGACUCACUUUUUACUCAAAUACAGUAAAGAAGUUUUAAGUUCUAUAGAAAAUGAAGACGAUUGCUUAUUAAAUUGAAAAGCGUGUAGAUUAAGUCCUGGGGUUGAUGUGAAACUUUCAGCAGGACCUCAGUGGGGCAGGUUAGAGGAAUUGCACAAGAUAGACGGAUGGUGUUUAUGUGCUCUUUCACUUAGUGUUGCUGUGAUGCAAAUGUAAAAGUUUGACCAAGAGCCUCAGCAUAACUGAAAAGUAUGUAACAACUGUGUAAAGUAAAAAUACAGAUAUAAAAUAGAAUGGCCAGUGGCUGUUCUCUCAGAUUGCUUUUUCUAAGGUGAUACUUUCCACAUGUGUUGGUCAUCAUUCCCAUAGAGGAAUAUGUGAGUGCAUAAGAGAUGGAAGACUGUGAUGCAGUCUGCUUGCUUGCUUUGAUUUUAUACGCUAAUAAGCCUUAAUUUGCAAGAGUGUUAAUUUAUGUCUUUUUUGUAUCUACUGUGUAUUAAAUGCUGGCUAUAUUUAGUGCAGUGUUUGGCAGCAUGAACAUGAUAAAAGAACAGGUGUCUGCUGCUUUCUAAGGUAAUACCAGAUGUUUUGCUCACUCUCAUUCACAUUUGUUUAUGCCUUCUCUCUCUAAGUUUUCAAAGCAUCGACUUGAAG
Molecule: long non-coding RNA, 4099 nt
Organism: Gallus gallus (chicken)
Lineage: Eukaryota; Metazoa; Chordata; Aves; Galliformes; Phasianidae
Source: Ensembl